AACCCCCUGUCUUGGACAUACAACCCAGAUAGCUGAGGUGUGUGCCCAGGAGAGCGUGCUUGAACCUUAACUGGAUAUAAGUACGAAAACAAGUUAAUAUGAAACGAAAAUAAAUAAAGUACCCUACUCGUUCCGGUAGAUAUUGUUACAAAACUGAGGAACUUCCCAUGGUAUCUUGACUGAACAAGACUGAGAUUAUAUACUAAAAUGGGAAGUUCACACAUAUAUCAGAGAUGGGGCGGUUACUUAAGAAAGUGAUCGAUUACCAUUGCGAAUACAUUUUCCAGUAAUCAUGAUAACAAUCAUGAUUACAUUUCCACAAAUAUGCACAAAUAGUGAAAUAAUGUUGCCAACAUAAAAUUAUCCACUUUAUUUCACAACCAAACCGAUUUCAUUCAUUGAAAGACAUAAUAGGUACAUUUUUGAUUAUUUAUUAAAUGAUUUCAAAAAUGGAUGAACAUAUGUCUACUGCAGGGAGGGAAUCGGUUUCCAAAACCAGAUUUGUUAUUCUUAAAUUUUUAUUAGUGACAAAAUGUAACGAUAACUAUAGGUAUAAUUAUUGUAUCAGUGCAUAACAUAUUAUUUUUAAUGAUUUAACUAAAUGUAACGAUAACUAUAGGUAUAAUUAUUGUAUCAGUGCAUAACAUAUUAUUUGUAAUGAUUUAACUAAGCCAUAAUUAGUAAUUGCAACUGUUUGACCACUAUACAAUUUGUUGUAUUGUUUGUAGAACGUAUACUUUUUAAUAUGAUCCUCAAAUUAAAAGAUUUUGUUUUUAAAUCUAUAAAUGAAGAAAUAAGGAUAGAACGAAAGAAAAGAUGCAACAAGUAAAUAAAUAAUUAAACUGAUAUCUGCAUACAUGUACAUGUAUUAUGUACACAAGUUGCUCAUUGCAUUUAAUUGUUGAUACUUUAAAAAUGACUGAUUAGUGUUGCUAGUUUGCUUUGUGCCAUAUUAUAGGAAUCCAACUGUAUCGGUGAAAAUUACAAGUAUCUUGGUCUGGGUGUGUUUAUGUUGGAAUUAUGAGGAGCGCCGUGUUUUGUAGAACAACAUGUUCAAAAUCCAUUAAAAUCUGCUUUUGGGAAUUUUUAUUACAAGUGUUUAUAUUUUAAACUAUUUUAAAGGAAUACUUUUAACUGGGUGUUUGCUUAAUCAGUUACAUUAUUUGUGGUUGUGUCUGUGACAGUGUGAGGAUGACUGCCCAUGGAAUUAAGUUUGAUACGCCUGUCUGCAGUCGUAACCACUAACAAAAGAAAAUAAAUAUUGUCAUGGUACAGUUGGUGGACUGACCAAACGAGGUAUUGUCAAGUGUUUCUUAGUUGAAUUCAGACCAGUGAUAAUGCUGUAUAUGCAUUGAGAGGAACGCAGGUGUUUUAGUAUAAUGUAUUUGUUUAUUUUUUACGGCAUUUAGGACACAAAACUGAGACAGGGCCCUUCUAUAUAUAUUGCUAGCUAGAACACUGUAUUCAUUCAAGUGGUUUUAUAGUAAACGUAAACAAGAUAGAUGCCAUUGUGUGAAUGUGUGGCUUAAUCCCCCUGGGUUACAUUCAUUUGAUAAUCAUUAUGAUCCCCCGUUUCUGAAGGCAAAUGAUAGUUCUAAUACUACUAGAGUAGUAGACAGUGGGAGAUCAGUUCUAUUGUCUGAUUGACCAGUACUGCUACUAACUAUAGACACUGUUCUAAUACUACUAGAGUAGUGGACGGUGGGAGAUCAGUUCUAUUGUCUGAUUGACCAGUACUGCUUCUAACUAUAGACACUGUUCUAAUACUACUAGAGUAGUGGACAGUGGGAGAUCAGUUCUAUUGUCUGAUUGACCAGUACUGCUAUAAACUAUAGACACUGUUCUAAUACUACUAGAGUAGUAGACAGUGGGAGAUAGUUCUAUUGUCUGAUUGACCAGUACUGCUUCUAACUAUAGACACUGUUCUAAUACUACUAGAGUAAUAGACAGUGGGAGAUCAGUUCUAUUGUCUGAUUGACCAGUACUGCUUCUAACUAUAGACACUGUUAGUGGAGUUGAUGCUAAACAUUUAAGUUUAGUAAAUUAUGAGUAAUAAUAAAAGUAAUCGCUGAUUACUAUUACAUUAGCAACGUAAUUGAUUACGAUUGCGAUUACAUGUUUUCAUGUAAAGAUUACGAUUACUGAUUAUGAUUACCCUAUCUCUGAUAUAUAUAUAUAUAUUGUACUGGGUACCUUGGAGAUCUUGCUUUUACAUUUACAUCUAAAUGUCAUGGGCACAUUAACUAUUAAAGUUAAUAUAUAGUUAAGACACCACUUGUCAUGGGCACAUUAACUCUGAAGUUAAUAUAUAGUUGACACACCACUUGUCAUGGGCACAUUAUCUCUGAAGUUAAUAUAUAGUUAACACUUGUGUGUAGAGGUGAGGUGUCGACAGGUGUCCAAUAUGUUCACCAAACAGGGUAAAUGUCUUGUUUUCAUUUUGCUUUAAUUAAUCAUGGCUGAUAUUCAGGGACUAAAAUUCACACGUGAUCAGAUUGUUAAUAUUAAUGUCUGUGGUUAAUUUCAUUGCAGUUUCUGUGUAUCACAGGGUACUGCUCAUUCUGUAUUGUGUUUAUGAUAGUGACGUGGCUGACUUGACGGUUUCCAGUAAAUAUGUAACAUUGUAUGAACAGAUUGUAGACUAAUUGUGGAAGUGUGGAAAUUACCUGUAAUUUAGUAAACCGUUGAUUACAUCUAGCUACGUCUACCUUGUUCAGAGUUCUCUCGUGUGGUUCUUUGUUUGUAUGUGUAUCGCCACAUUUGUCGUUCAUCCCAGUUGUAUGUACAGAUGUCUCUUUGUGUCUGCCCCUUUCUACAUGCAAUGCUGUCCGUUUUGAGCUACACCCCUGUGUACAGAACUAGAAUUUGUCUUUGAAAACUGUGCUGCAAGUUUUUGAAUGUUAUGGUUUUCAUAAAUUUCAUUUGGGGCCAAAGUGCUUGAAAGUAAUUUUUUUUGCUUUUUUUUUUAUAUGUUUCACUUUUUUUAUUUGUCUUGAGCACACUUCAUUUAUUGCCUCUGUACCUGGUUUGAGACAGUGAAUUAGGCCUCUUGGUUUGAGACGGUGAAUUGGGCCUCUUGGUUUGAGACGGUGAAUUGGGCCUCUUGGUUUGAGACGGUGAAUUGGGCCUCUUGGUUUGAGACAGUGAAUUGGGCCUCUUGGUUUGAGACUGAAUUAGGCCUCUUUGAGACAGUGUAUUAGGCCUCUUGGUUUGAGACGGUGAAUUGGGCCUCUUGGUUUGAGACGGUGAAUUGGGCCUCUUGGUUUGAGACGGUGAAUUGGGCCUCUUGGUUUGAGACAGUGAAUUGGGCCUCUUGGUUUGAGACUGAAUUGGGCCUCUUGGUUUGAGACAGUGAAUUAGGCCUCUUUGAGACAGUGAAUUGGGCCUCUUGGUUUGAGACGGUGAAUUGGGCCUCUUGGUUUGAGACGGUGAAUUGGGCCUCUUGGUUUGAGACAGUGAAUUGGGCCUCUUGGUUUGAGACAGUGAAUUGGGCCUCUUGGUUUGAGACAGUGAAUUAGGCCUCUUGGUUUGAGACAGUGAAUUGGGCCUCUUGGUUUCAGGCAGUGAAUUGGGCCUCUCUUGUUUUUAAGGAUUCCACUGGGAUCAGGAAAACGAUGUAACAUAUAUAUUUUGGAAUUCCAUCUCAUAAUGUUACUCUUCUAACCCAUGGAAUCUAGGUAACUUCUCAGUUUGGUUUUGUUGUAAUACGACUGGGUUUGGCUGGAUUUUUCUUUUUGCAUUUAUAACUUAGCACUGACCUGCACUUGAUUGGUAGUUCAUGAGGUGCCAGUUGUAAACUGACCCAUGAUCUCAUAGUAUUUGACAAGUUGGGAUUUGCGUGAUGGAAUUAUAGUGGUGUGAGGAGAACUAAUUUGUUGUUUUGAUUGUCAUGGUGCUAGGACGUUAGGAUGGGUCAGGUUCGACGGUGUUAGGAUGGGUCAGGUUCGACGGUGUUAGGAUGGGUCGGAUUCGACGGUAUAGGAUGGGUCAGAUUCGACGGUGUUAGGAUGGGUCAGAUUCGACGGUAUAGGACGGGUCAGGAUUGACGGUGUUAGGAUGGGUCAGGUUCGACAGUAUAGGAUGGGUCAAGUUCGACGGUGUUAGAAUGGGUCGGAUUCGACGGUGUUAGGAUGGGUCAGGUUCGACGGUAUAGGAUGGGUCAGGUUCGACGGUAUAGGAUGGGUCAAGUUCGACGGUGUUAGAAUGGGUCGGAUUUGACGGUGUUAGAAUGGGUCAGAUUCGACGGUAUAGGACGGGUCAGGUUUGACGGUGUUAGGAUGGGUCAGGUUCGACGGUAUAGGAUGGGUCAAGUUCGACGGUGUUAGAAUGGGUCGGAUUCGACAGUGUUAGGAUGGGUCAGAUUCGACGGUAUAGGACGGGUCAGGAUUGACGGUGUUAGGAUGGGUCAGGUUCGACAGUAUAGGAUGGGUCAAGUUCGACGGUGUUAGAAUGGGUCGGAUUCGACGGUGUUAGGAUGGGUCAGGUUCGACGGUAUAGGAUGGGUCAGGUUCGACGGUAUAGGAUGGGUCAAGUUCGACGGUGUUAGAAUGGGUCGGAUUUGACGGUGUUAGAAUGGGUCAGAUUCGACGGUAUAGGACGGGUCAGGUUUGACGGUGUUAGGAUGGGUCAGGUUCGACGGUAUAGGAUGGGUCAAGUUCGACGGUGUUAGAAUGGGUCGGAUUCGACAGUGUUAGGAUGGGUCAGAUUCGACGGUAUAGGAUGGGUCUAGUUCGACGGUGUUAGGAUGGGUCAGGUUCGACGGUAUAGGAUGGGUCAAGUUCGACGGUGUUAGGAUGGGUCAGGUUCGACGGUAUAGGAUGGGUCAAGUUCGACGGUGUUAGAAUUGGUCAGAUUCGACGGUGUUAGGAUGGGUCAGAUUCGACGGUAUAGGAUGGGUCAGGUUGGACGGUAUAGGAUGGGUCAGGUUCGACGGUGUAGGAUGGGUCACGUUCGACGGUGUUAGGAUGGGUCGGAUUCGACGGUGUUGGGAUGGGUCAGGUUCGACGGUGUUAGGAUGGGUCAGAUUCGACUGUAUAGGAUGGGUCAGGUUCGACGGUGUUAGGAUGGGUCAGAUUCGACGGUAUAGGAUGGGUCUGGCCUGACAGCAAUAAAAAAAUUUAAGUAAACGUGAAUACCUCAUUGUGCCAAGUGAAUAAUAAUUAUUUUUUUUAAUUCUUUGGCCCACUUCUACAGACAAUAAUAAUACAUGGCGGUUUAUUUCACAACACAAAUGUCAGAUUUUUUUUUUCAUUAUUUUUCUGUGUUAGUUUAAUUUUUGUGGAUCUGUCAUUGUAUUUUUUGUUUUAAUUGCUAUCUAUUCGGAAUUACUGUAUUUUGUCACUUUUCUGCGAUCUGAUUGAAAUUUCAUUAAGUUUUUUUAUCCAAUUUUUCCAUGGUAUUUUUUUUGUCACUGAUCAUUCCAUGUAUAUGAAUUUUAUGAUUAUGUUUUUAGAAUUCACUUCAUUUUCGUGAAAAUUAAGAUGUAGUUUUGAUCUUCACUCCAUUCUGAAUUAAAUUUAAUUUGCGUAUUCUCUGUGUUCAUUUGUAUUUGCUUAGAAUUGUGAUUCACCAGUGAUUCCAGGUAGAUAAUGCUUUAAAUUGCACUGAUAACAGAUGUGUGUGUGUGUGUGUGUAAUGAGUUAACAAUAUUUUUGUGUUUUCGUAGAAUUGUGAUGUAUGCUUUUGAUAAACGAUAUAUUUUUCUUGAAAUUAUUCCAAUGUUCCUGUCAAUGGCAGCUCAUGAUCACAGUGUCUAUCUCGCCAGAGGUAGUUCGACUCGGAUUAUAUUUUCUUUACAAAGGGGUAUAUACAAUGAAAUUAACUAUUAUUGUGUUUCUAAAGCAUGUUGUUAAGUGUUGUAGUAUUCAAUUCAAAUGUCAACAUUGUAAUAUUGAAUUCAAAUGUCAAUGUGUUAUAACGAUACAUUGUUCUGGCGUGUGUUUAUAUUCUAUUCUCAGUAAGAUGUUUGUAUAUAAGCAUGUAUAUAUAUAAUCAUAGUUAUACCAGAUCUCAGUGGAUUGUAACAGUCUGAGCUGCAUAUCGUAGAAAUGUGUGGUGAUCUUUUGAGAUUUGUAUCCAGGGCUUUGGAUGUGUUUAUGCUGGGUACAUUUCCAUGCGUCUUCUAGUGAUGGAUUUGCACAGUAUAUGGAAGACAUGCACUUUAUUCUGUGUUCACGGUACAUAGUUUUGUUUUGUUUAUUUUAUGUUAAACAAAUUAUGAGCUAGUACAAACAACAAGACUACCUGAAACAUGUCGGAUUGGAAAAAUCAAUCAUUUAAACGCUAAGUUAUAAGUGAUGUGGAAACUAACUGAAAAAUCUCUAAUAGUGGAAGAAAUUUUAAACAAAUAAUUUUAAGUGAUGUGAAAACUAACAUUGAAAACUUGUAUUACCACAAAGUUGUAGGUGAUGUUUAAAUUAACAGCAAAGAACAUGUAUAGCUGAAGAUACUUUACAUUGUGUAAUAACUAGACUUAACCACUUUAACAGCAACACUACAAUUGAGUGUUUAUAAACAUUGAUGGAUAAUUUCCUUGCACACUACUUAGUACCAUAAAGCUGCUUUAACCUGAACACAGUAUGUGCAAUAUGCAGUGCUGUAAAAAUACUGCAUGCACUAUUUACUUGCAUACGGUUUCGAUGCAGUGUUUUUAGUAGAUAAAACUUUUGUAAAACGAAAAUCAUAGCAGUACCAGAGAUAUGGCAUCAGAAAGACUUAACACCCCACUCAAAAAUGAUAAAUUCUCAAUUAAUUUUUUUUACCAGUUUUUAUAAAAGUUGAGAGAUUUUUAAGAACCUAUUUGUUAAUGCAAUUAUACAUUUUCUUUGAAGCAGGUGUGGAGAAAGCUUUCACAAAAACACUCAUGCUAAAUAACAUUGUAUUGAACUUUUAACUUCUACUUUGCAAUUACCAGUUGCUGUGACGCAGAAAUGUUACACUGCUGACAAUUUUAGCACUACAGGUUUUGUUUAUUUUGUAAUAGGUACAUGAGAUCAUAGUAUUUUGUCAAUCAAUUCACAUCCGGAGAUGACACAUCAAUAGACCCACAAAGAAACUGGAACUGAUGAAAAAUAUUGCUUUUAGAACCAAAAAUAUGAAAGUAGCCAUUUAAAAAAAAACAAAGAAGAAUUUUGUAAAAUCAGGGUUUCUAGAUUAUGGUAGCCCCAUUCUCAUGGCUAGUGAUAUUCAGUGUUGGGCUAGUAAAUAACUACUAUGCCCGACUGCUAGUGAAAUUUGUUUGUCAAAUGUUGCAGUUAGUCUGUUUUGUCAAUAUGCAUACCCUGCCCCCACCCACAAUGUUAGUGUUUAUUUAGUAAAAUUGUAUUAACUUAAGUAAAGUGGGGCUUUUGAGUUUUCAAUCGUGGCUAAUACAUUUUUCAAAUCACUAAUCCCAUGGCUAGUGGAUUUUAUAAAAAAUUGUAGAAGCCGUGAAAAUAAACACAUUUGUGGUUUGUUUAUGACAAGACAAUUCAAUAAAGUUUGUAAUUAUCCCGGUACACAUAUAUGCGUUAUAUGGAUGUUUGGUUUAUUAGACAUUGGCAUGUGCUUUUAAAACUUAGUUUUAAAUAGCGGGUAUUGCCAAACUUAGUUUGAAAUAGAGGGUAUUGCCAAACUUAGUCCACACUUGAACAGUUUUAUGAACACUGGCCCGAAUUUCUGUUAAUUAAUAUUACCCAACAGAUUUUCACCACUGACUGUUUAUAUGUUUCUGGGGUUGCUGGGGAUUUUUUUUUUUUUUUUUUUUUAUCAUGGACGAGUGACUUAAUUGGGCUGUCUUUAGGUUAUGACAAAACAGAACAAUUGUUCCCCACGUCCUCAACCAUGGUCAACAUUUGUCAGUUUGAGUAUAUGUUAACCAUAUAGGUAUGUGAUCACGUUUGAACGUACAUUCCUUCUGUUUGAUAGUCUAGUGGCUAGGCCAUCAUGUCGCCAUACUUGCUGGAUUUGUAUUCCAGGGCCCGUGCUUAUAAAACUUAAAGUCUAAGACUUUAAUAAAGUCCACACUUUAACGUAAUGCUAUUUGAAUGGUGUUGCCUGCCAUGAUGUUAAAGUCUGAACUUUAUUAAAGUCUAGACUUUAAGGUUUAUAAGCACGGGGCCUGGACUGGCUGCACACCAUGAUGAAACUCAGCUCAGUCGUUUGCCAUGGACGUUGAAGAUCACUCCCCUGACUUCUUUCCUGCUAAGCAUCAACAGACGACCCCAAGACCUGAACUGUGAGCUCAGGACAGCGUUACUUGAUAUUUUAACAUGAAAUAACAUGGGAAUGAAUUUACACAUUGAAAAAUACAGCAGUGUUCCAUUAUCACAUCUUUUGUGAUACCAAAUUUUAUUAUUUAAUCUGUUAAUAUAUAUACAUAUGUAUUUUUAAAAAGCUCUUCUAUGUCUUGAUCUACUCUAGACAUCACAUUGUCAUACAUCCAGCCCUUUUUGUAAAAACAAAAACUGGUCAUAAGAAUGGUGGGUACAGGAUUAAAGGACGAUCUGUUAUUCAAUGCAAUUGUUGUUGUGCUCUUACUCGGUGAUUUAACAUCAUCAGUGUGGAAAAUAAAUUGACUAUUUCAGUCAGAUUUGCAUCAUUUU
This is a long non-coding RNA of Gigantopelta aegis, 8582 nucleotides long. RefSeq lists it as uncharacterized. The transcript has 2 exons. NCBI's taxonomy places the organism in Eukaryota, Metazoa, Mollusca, Gastropoda, Neomphalida, Peltospiridae. The record is from RefSeq and is a predicted model, not a curated record.